Molecule: non-coding RNA, 75 nt
Organism: Myotis davidii
Lineage: Eukaryota; Metazoa; Chordata; Mammalia; Chiroptera; Vespertilionidae
Source: Rfam
GGCGGUUCUCAGGUGAUGCACCCCAGAAUUGGGCUCCCUCCUCUCUGGUUCUGGGUGUGUCACCCAAGAACCGCA